GACGAACGCUGGCGGCGUGCCUAACACAUGCAAGUCGAACGAGGCCACUCCUUCGGGAGUGAGUCGAGUGGCGGACGGGUGAGUAACACGUGAGCAAUCUACCCUUGUGCGGGGGAUAACCCAGGGAAACUUGGGCUAAUACCGCAUGGGCAAGAGAUCCGAGUGGGUUUUUUGGGAAACGUGGCCUCUUAACAAUGCUACGGCGCAAGGAGGAGCUCGCGGGCUAUCAGCUAGUUGGUGAGGUCAAGGCUCACCAAGGCAGCGACGGCUACGGGGUCUGAGAGGACGACCCCGCACAUUGGAACUGAGACACGGUCCAGACUCCUACGGGAGGCAGCAGUGGGGAAUUUUGGGCAAUGGCCGAAAGGCUGACCCAGCGACGCCGCGUGCGGGAGGAAGCCCUUCGGGGUGUAAACCGCUGUCAGGGGGACGAAAGAGAGAGGAGCUAAUACCUCUUCUCAGUGACGGUACCCUCAAAGGAAGCACCGGCUAACUCUGUGCCAGCAGCCGCGGU
Molecule: ribosomal RNA, 514 nt
Filed under: uncultured bacterium
Lineage: Bacteria
Description: bacterial SSU rRNA
Rfam family: Bacterial small subunit ribosomal RNA
Source: RNAcentral